AGUCAGCCACAGGGGCACAGCUGAAGGCAAUUCACCUAUGCUGCCGGAAGGGGUGGAGCCUGGCUCCUAGACCUAUUUAAGAGCUGGCUACCAGGGGGGAAGGAUCUCUUCUGGAGAUUGCCUCUUCUGGUGUUUUGUGAGUGUGCCCAGGCUAGGGAGGAGUGUGGAGAUGUGGAGUUUUCCAGCCUUUCAUGGCAGGAAAGAGAGUUAUUUUUCAAGGAAGAUCUCUCAAGCCUUUUCUGUUGACAUGAUCCACUGAGCAUAGCAUCUCAUGCUUGGGAAAGUUACCUGCUCUACUUCUGCCCACAUUUCCAGUUUCCAGCAAGAAAGAGCGUGAGGAGUGUGUGCAAACACUUGUUCUCCACAUUAAGCCUGACUGAACGAUUUCUCUGCUAUUCUGAGCUUCUGGUGAACUGAAAAUUACCAGCUGUACUGAUUUGUGACAAACAGUGUGUGUAUGCAUACACAUGCGCAUGUAUGUACAUGUGUGUAUGUGCAGUCUGGAGAAGAAGAAACAAAGAGAUUAACAUCAUCAUAUGUGAUGAAAAUAAAUUCAUGUUUAUGAUCCAGUUACACGAAAUACAAAUGCAAGCAACAGCUUAUGGUUAAAAAGUAUUUAUUGGAGCCCUCACAUUGGCGUAUUAUGGACUGUAUGCUGAACAAGGAAUUCUCUAAUUCAUUUAUUUGCUGAGAUACUGUAAACGAAUAGGGAAUCAAAUACAUAAGUACAGUCGUCAUUGCUCAAAUUUGGAAAAGAAAAUGAGCUUGGGUUAGGGAAGAAUACAGCUAUGCUACUUGCACUUAAUAUCACAGGAUGGCUGACCCACUCUAGCUGUGUUCAGAGUUAUCAAUAACAAGAUAAUCUUGUAAUAUUUUGCUUAAUAAAUGUAAUAAUGCUUAACACACACACACACAAAAGAUUAGAAGAAAUCAAGUUAUCCAGGCUCAACAAGCUAACACUCCUCAGCUGAUUUGCAGUGACAAAUGGUAACUCAUUAAACUACAUAACAUAUUUGCCACCCUUUGAAGUCUAUGCUCUUAAAAGUAAAAUGGUAACAACCAAAGCUUUUUUAAAAUCAGUGUUAUGUCACCCCUUGCAUGUCAAAAUAAACCACAGUACCUAUAAAAAACAUGUGGUAGCAACUCAAAUCCCUAAAUCCUUGCCAAAAGUUGACUUCAAUAGCUGUCUACAGAGUCUGCCAGAAUAUUGUCAGCCAACUCAUACCAUGUGUGCCUUGUAGGGUAGUGGCUUCAAAAGGACAUCAGAUUUGCCAAAAUCUCUCCAUCUUUCAGACGUAAUCUUUGCCAUCACUCAUGAAAUGUAGUGACAUCUAACAGGAAGGAAAUACAUGAUGGUCAUCA
Molecule: long non-coding RNA, 1362 nt
Organism: Tympanuchus pallidicinctus (lesser prairie-chicken)
Lineage: Eukaryota; Metazoa; Chordata; Aves; Galliformes; Phasianidae
Exons: 3
Source: RefSeq, a predicted model, not a curated record